UGCAAGUCGACGCCCCGCAAGGGGAGUGGCAGACGGGUGAGUAACGCGUGGGAACAUACCCUUUCCUGCGGAAUAGCUCUGGGAAACUGGAAUUAAUACCGCAUACGCCCUACGGGGGAAAGAUUUAUCGGGGAAGGAUUGGCCCGCGUUGGAUUAGCUAGUUGGUGGGGUAAAGGCCUACCAAGGCGACGAUCCAUAGCUGGUCUGAGAGGAUGAUCAGCCACAUUGGGACUGAGACACGGCCCAAACUCCUACGGGAGGCAGCAGUGGGGAAUAUUGGACAAUGGGCGCAAGCCUGAUCCAGCCAUGCCGCGUGAUUGAUGAAGGCCUUAGGGUUGUAAAGUUCUUUCACCGGAGAAGAUAAUGACGGUAUCCG
RNAcentral lists this ribosomal RNA (376 nucleotides) under Rhizobium sp. LT12. RNAcentral describes it as "bacterial SSU rRNA". It matches the Rfam family "Bacterial small subunit ribosomal RNA", at positions 56 to 481 of the family's 1533-position model. Lineage: Bacteria; Pseudomonadati; Pseudomonadota; Alphaproteobacteria; Hyphomicrobiales; Rhizobiaceae. The record is from RNAcentral.